This 478-nucleotide long non-coding RNA is filed under the name Bos grunniens (domestic yak). RNAcentral describes it as "lncRNA (ENSBGRG00000023145.1)". Lineage: Eukaryota; Metazoa; Chordata; Mammalia; Artiodactyla; Bovidae. The record is from RNAcentral.
UUCAGUUCAGUCAUCAUCAUGAUGGUCAUGGUGAUUAGAGAGCUCCCCCAUAAGGAUACGCAGACAAUUCCUCAACUGCAGCUCCCUAAGUUUUCUCCUGAUUUCCCUCAUCUCCUCCAUGAAUAUUUCCAUAUCGUCUCCCUCUCCACCCAUCCCAUCAUUGACCUGUCUAUUGGGUAUAACCCAUCGGAAAUUAGGGGCAAGUCGGCGAGCCUGUCCCCGUCUAUGAUUUCUUUCUGGCUGGUGGCCUUCGCCCCCUCCCAAAGGGCGGUCUUCCUCUCCGUUCUGCACGGGUUGCUCCAUUUCUUCGUUUUCCUGGCCUAUCCUUGCUGUCUCUUGCUCCUUCUGAUCCUCGCCACGAGUGCGCCGCCGCCACACUUGGUUCGGCAGACCUGCAAAGGGCCAGGGUGGGGACAGGAGGCUGCUGCAGCCGGGCGCUUGGCGCCUUCCCGACCCCGCGUCCCCUACUCCCACCAAC